AGUUUGAUCUUGGCUCAGAACGAACGCUGGCGGCGUGCCUAACACAUGCAAGUCGUACAAGAAAAUCCGCUUCGGCGGGUGAGUAAAGUGGCGCACGGGUGAGUAACGCGUGGAUAAUCUGCCUUUAAGCGGGGAAUAACUUACCGAAAGGUGGGCUAAUACCCCAUAAAGCUAUGGAACUCCGGUUUUCAUAGCCAAAGAGAGCCUCUGCAUGCAAGCCCUCACUAAGAGAUGAGUUCGCGUACCAUUAGCUAGUUGGUGGGGUAAUGGCCUACCAAGGCGACGAUGGUUAGCUGGUCUGAGAGGAUGAUCAGCCACACUGGAACUGAGACACGGUCCAGACUCCUACGGGAGGCAGCAGUGAGGAAUUUUGCACAAUGGGGGCAACCCUGACGCAGCAACGCCGCGUGAGUGAGGAAGGCUUUUGGGAUUGUAAAAACUCUGUCGGGCAAGAAGCAAAGUCACGCAGGUUAACAGUCCGGUUAUUUGACGGUACCGCCAAAGGAAGCCCCGGCUAACUCCGUGCCAGCAGCCGCGGUAAUACAGAGGCGUCAAGCGUUGUUCGGAAUCACUGGGCGUAAAGAGCGUGUAGGCGGGUAGGCAAGUCAGAUGUGAAAUCCCUGGGCUUAACCCAGUACGGCCUCCGAAACUGCUUGUCUUGAGUACAGAAGAGGGAAGCGGAAUUCCCGGUGUAGCGGUGAAAUUCGUAGAUAUCAGGAGGAACACCAGUGGCGAAGGCGACUUUCUGGUCUUCUACUGACGCUGAGACGCGAGAGCUAGGGGAGCAAACAGGAUUAGAUACCCCGGUAGUCCUAGCCGUAAACGAU
Molecule: ribosomal RNA, 827 nt
Filed under: uncultured bacterium
Lineage: Bacteria
Description: bacterial SSU rRNA
Rfam family: Bacterial small subunit ribosomal RNA
Source: RNAcentral